AACGAACGCUGGCGGCAUGCCUAACACAUGCAAGUCGAACGAGACCUUCGGGUCUAGUGGCGCACGGGUGCGUAACGCGUGGGAAUCUACCCUCAGGUUCGGAAUAACUCAGAGAAAUUUGAGCUAAUACCGGAUGAUGACGUAAGUCCAAAGAUUUAUCGCCUGAGGAUGAGCCCGCGUAGGAUUAGGUAGUUGGUGAGGUAAAGGCUCACCAAGCCGACGAUCCUUAGCUGGUCUGAGAGGAUGAUCAGCCACACUGGGACUGAGACACGGCCCAGACUCCUACAGGAGGCAGCAGUGGGGAAUAUUGGACAAUGGGCGAAAGCCUGAUCCAGCAAUGCCGCGUGAGUGAUGAAGGCCUUAGGGUUGUAAAGCUCUUUUACCCGGGAUGAUAAUGACAGUACCGGGAGAAUAAGCUCCGGCUAACUCCGUG
This 433-nucleotide ribosomal RNA is filed under the name uncultured bacterium. RNAcentral describes it as "partial 16S ribosomal RNA". It matches the Rfam family "Bacterial small subunit ribosomal RNA", at positions 29 to 507 of the family's 1533-position model. The record is from RNAcentral.